This is an unclassified non-coding RNA of Cricetulus griseus (Chinese hamster), 253 nucleotides long. Its record names the gene 7SK. It matches the Rfam family "7SK RNA". From Rfam's summary of the family: 7SK was discovered as an abundant small nuclear RNA in the mid-70s but a possible function has only recently been suggested. Two independent studies have found that 7SK RNA binds the CDK9/cyclin T complex (known as elongation factor P-TEFb). The record is from Ensembl. NCBI's taxonomy places the organism in Eukaryota, Metazoa, Chordata, Mammalia, Rodentia, Cricetidae.
AGAUGCAGGAGCCACAUGGCUAUGACAUCUGUCACUCGGUUGAUCACCAGGGUUGAUUCAGCUGAUCUGGCUGGCUAGGUGCAUGUCCCCUCCCUCCCUCCCUCAGACUAUGUGUGACCCUCCCAAAGCUGCAAGCUGUUAAUAAUUUCCACAGAACUAUCUAGAAACAUCGUUUGCCUAAGACAGCUAACCUCUAACGGUAAACAAGAGUCAGCAAAGUACGUCCAGAAGAAACCAGCUGAAGCUCAUUUUC